This 496-nucleotide ribosomal RNA is filed under the name uncultured bacterium. RNAcentral describes it as "partial 16S ribosomal RNA". It matches the Rfam family "Bacterial small subunit ribosomal RNA", at positions 28 to 507 of the family's 1533-position model. The record is from RNAcentral.
GAUGAACGCUGGCGGCGUGCCUAAUACAUGCAGUCGCGCGAACAGACGAGGAGCUUGCUCCUCUGACGUUAGCGGCGGACGGGUGAGUAACACGUGGAUAACCUACCUAUAAGACUGGGAUAACUUCGGGAAACCGGAGCUAAUACCGGAUAAUAUAUUGAACCGCAUGGUUCAAUAGUGAAAGACGGUUUUGCUGUCACUUAUAGAUGGAUCCGCGCCGCAUUAGCUAGUUGGUAAGGUAACGGCUUACCAAGGCAACGAUGCGUAGCCGACCUGAGAGGGUGAUCGGCCACACUGGAACUGAGACACGGUCCAGACUCCUACGGGAGGCAGCAGUAGGGAAUCUUCCGCAAUGGGCGAAAGCCUGACGGAGCAACGCCGCGUGAGUGAUGAAGGUCUUCGGAUCGUAAAACUCUGUUAUUAGGGAAGAACAAAUGUGUAAGUAACUAUGCACGUCUUGACGGUACCUAAUCAGAAAGCCACGGCUAACUACGUG